Molecule: ribosomal RNA, 331 nt
Filed under: uncultured eukaryote
Lineage: Eukaryota
Description: partial 18S ribosomal RNA
Rfam family: Eukaryotic small subunit ribosomal RNA
Source: RNAcentral
CCCUUAGAUGUCCUGGGCCGCACGCGCGCUACACUGAUGCAUUCAACGAGUUUUGUUUGUUCCUUGGCCGAGAGGCCUGGGCAAUCUUUUGAACUUGCAUCGUGAUAGGGAUAGAUUAUUGCAAUUAUUAAUCUUGAACGAGGAAUUCCUAGUAAACGCAGAUCAUCAAUCUGCAUUGAUUACGUCCCUGCCCUUUGUACACACCGCCCGUCGCACCUACCGAUUGAAUGGUCCGGUGAAGCCUCGGGAUUGUGGUUGGUUUCCUUUAUUGGAGAUUGAUUGCGAGAACUUGUCUAAACCUUAUCAUUUAGAGGAAGGUGAAGUCGUAACA